GAACUUUCCAGAGAUGGAUUGGUGCCUUCGGGAACUGUGAGACAGGUGCUGCAUGGCUGUCGUCAGCUCGUGUUGUGAAAUGUUGGGUUAAGUCCCGCAACGAGCGCAACCCUUAUCCUUUGUUGCCAGCGGUCCGGCCGGGAACUCAAAGGAGACUGCCAGUGAUAAACUGGAGGAAGGUGGGGAUGACGUCAAGUCAUCAUGGCCCUUACGACCAGGGCUACACACGUGCUACAAUGGCGCAUACAAAGAGAAGCGACCUCGCGAGAGCAAGCGGACCUCAUAAAGUGCGUCGUAGUCCGGAUUGGAGUCUGCAACUCGACUCCAUGAAGUCGGAAUCGCUAGUAAUCGUGGAUCAGAAUGCCACGGUGAAUACGUUCCCGGGCCUUGUACACACCGCCCGUCACACCAUG
RNAcentral lists this ribosomal RNA (413 nucleotides) under Escherichia coli. Its description in RNAcentral is "bacterial SSU rRNA". It matches the Rfam family "Bacterial small subunit ribosomal RNA", at positions 993 to 1406 of the family's 1533-position model. Lineage: Bacteria; Pseudomonadati; Pseudomonadota; Gammaproteobacteria; Enterobacterales; Enterobacteriaceae. The record is from RNAcentral.